This 900-nucleotide ribosomal RNA is filed under the name uncultured archaeon. Its description in RNAcentral is "bacterial SSU rRNA". It matches the Rfam family "Archaeal small subunit ribosomal RNA", at positions 455 to 1354 of the family's 1478-position model. The record is from RNAcentral.
GUGGCAGCCGCCGCGGUAAAACCAGCACCUCAAGUGGUCAGGAGGUUUAUUGGGCCUAAAGCAUCCGUAGCCUGAUCUAUAAGUUUCCGGUUAAAUCCAAAUGCUCAACAUUUGGGCUGCCGGAAAAACUGUAGAUCUAGGGAGUGGGAGAGGUAGACGGUACUCGGUAGGAAGGGGUAAAAUCCUUUGAUCUAUUGAUGACCACCAGUGGCGAAGGCGGUCUACCAGAACACGUUCGACGGUGAGGGAUGAAAGCUGGGGGAGCAAACCGGAUUAGAUACCCGGGUAGUCCCAGCUGUAAACGAUGCAGACUCGGUGAUGCAUUGGCUUGUGGCCAGUGCAGUGCCGCAGGGAAGCCGUUAAGUUUGCCGCCUGGGAAGUACGUACGCAAGUAUGAAACUUAAAGGAAUUGGCGGGGGAGCACCACAAGGGGUGAAGCCUGCGGUUCAAUUGGAGUCAACGCCAGAAAUCUUACCCGGAGAGACAGCAGAAUGAAGGUCAAGCUGAAGACUUUACCAGACAAGCUGAGAGGUGGUGCAUGGCCGUCGCCAGCUCGUGCCGUGAGAUGUCCUGUUAAGUCAGGUAACGAGCGAGACCCUUGCCUCUAGUUGCUACCAUUGCUCUCUGGAGCAGUGGGGCGAAUUAGCGGGACCGCCGCAGUUAAUGCGGAGGAAGGAAAGGGCUACGGCAGGUCAGUAUGCCCCGAAACUCUGGGGCCACACGCGGGCUGCAAUGGUAGCGACAAUGUGUUCCAAACCCUAAAGGGGGAGGUAAUCAUCAAACGCUACCACAGUUAUGACUGAGGGCUGCAACUCGCCCUCACGAAUAUGGAAUCCCUAGUAACUGCGUGUCAUUACCGCGCGGUGAAUACGCCCCUGCUCCUUGCACACACCGCCCGUC